This is a long non-coding RNA of Suricata suricatta (meerkat), 1481 nucleotides long. RefSeq lists it as uncharacterized. The transcript has 7 exons. The record is from RefSeq and is a predicted model, not a curated record. Lineage: Eukaryota; Metazoa; Chordata; Mammalia; Carnivora; Herpestidae.
AACCCUAGUGUCCUUAUUCCUAAAGUAAGAAUACCAGUCAUGGAUUGCUGCCAGGAAUAAUGAAGAUUGCUAUGUGAAGCUCUUAGCAAUCUAAUUGAUGUACACUGCUUAUGAUAGAUAUAGAAACUUACCUGCUUAUUGAAGAAGGAGAAGAAGAAGAAAAGAAACUUAACUCUUUGUCUUGAACACCAAAAUCAGUUUUACUGAAGCUGAGAAAUCCCACAACCUGCUGUCUGCAAACUGGAGGCCCAAGGAAGUCAGCAAUACACUGUGAAAUCCUGGGACCCAGAGAGCCAACAGUACAGACAGCAGUACAAAUAUGAAGGCUGACAACCAGGCACAGCAAGGCCAGGAUUGAUGUCCCAGCUCACUUCAUCAAGAAGAGACUGAACUCAAGCUUCCCCCACCUUUUUGUUUGGUUUGGGCCUCAACACCUUAGGUGAUGCUCACUCACAUGGAAAAGGCUAUCUGCUUUGUUUAGUUCAAUUCAAAUGUUUAUCUCUUUGAACAUACUCUUCCAGACCCACCCAAGAAGAACUUAACCAUCUGAGCAUCCUGUGGCCCAGGCAAGCUGACAAUAAAGUGAAUGAGCACAUCUGGUUUCCUGCUCCAACGUCCUCUCAUGAUUGCCCGCUGCUGCACCCAUUCCUGAACUUUCCUCCUCAGAUAAACAAGUUUUCUUUUGCCUCAAGACAUUAUAUAUGCCUCUGCCAGAAAUUCUGUUUCCUCCAGACUACACACAGCUAGCUAUUACUGUUUCAGCCAAAGCCUGAAGAGAGAUGACGGGAACUCAUACCUGCCAGUUUCACUCUGCUUCUCCGUCCACCCUCCAUUCUUCCUUUUAACAAUUUCUUGGAUCUGAGUCCGCCAAAAGAAUAAGUCAUGACGGAAGCCAAGGUACCAAGUAGGAAAUUGAAGUGACAGAGAGUAAGUCAUGCCCAGGAUCACACGGCUGGAUAGUGGUGAAACUGAGGCUGAGUCACGGGUUUCCUGAUUCCAAACCUACACAUCUCCUAAAGUGGUGAUGAAGAAAACAGUAGCUCCUGAAAUCCAGAAACUGGUCUGACACUUAGAGCUCAGUCUCAGUGUGCGCACAAACUGGACUGACCUCAGCAGGGAGACCGUGGGCAAAUAAACAAUCUCAUGGAGCAUCCACUUGUCUAAGCACAGACCACAAUCUGGUCACUGUAAACAACUCACAAAAUAUCAAGCAUACCCCUCUUCUGGCUAACAUUUCUGCUGCCUUUUUCUUUUAACCAAUUAUAGCUUUAUCCCUCUCCUCUCUAUCGGUAAGAUUUAUUGCUAUCCUCAGUCAUGGCCUUGCCCUCACUUCCUGACAGCACUCAUCUAGAGGGAUUCUCUGCCCCCUUAGGCCCUCUUUGAAAUCUCCCAAAUCCUUCAAUAAGUCUUUCUUUACUUCCUUUUACUGAAGUGCACCACUGUUCCUAUGGCAUGUGGCUCCCCUUGAUGCAAUGAAUGAG